Molecule: ribosomal RNA, 132 nt
Filed under: uncultured bacterium
Lineage: Bacteria
Description: partial 16S ribosomal RNA
Rfam family: Bacterial small subunit ribosomal RNA
Source: RNAcentral
CCUACGGGAGGCAGCAGUGGGGAAUAUUGGACAAUGGGCGCAAGCCUGAUCCAGCCAUGCCGCGUGUGUGAAGAAGAGCCUUCGGGUUGUAAAGCACUUUUGUCCGGAAAGAAAAGCCUCCGGGUUAAUACC